UAACUGGGGGAUCCAUUAAUGAUCAAAU
Molecule: non-coding RNA, 28 nt
Filed under: Rattus norvegicus (Norway rat)
Lineage: Eukaryota; Metazoa; Chordata; Mammalia; Rodentia; Muridae
Source: RNAcentral